Molecule: ribosomal RNA, 707 nt
Filed under: uncultured bacterium
Lineage: Bacteria
Description: bacterial SSU rRNA
Rfam family: Bacterial small subunit ribosomal RNA
Source: RNAcentral
UAGAGUUUGAUCCUGGCUCAGAUUGAACGCUGGCGGCAGGCUUAACACAUGCAGGUCGAACGGUAACAGGAAGCAGCUUGCUGCUUUGCUGACGAGUGGCGGACGGGUGAGUAAUGUCUGGGAAACUGCCUGAUGGAGGGGGAUAACUACUGGAAACGGUAGCUAAUACCGCAUAACGUCGCAAGACCAAAGUGGGGGACCUUCGGGCCUCAUGCCAUCAGAUGUGCCCAGAUGGGAUUAGCUAGUAGGUGGGGUAAUGGCUCACCUAGGCGACGAUCCCUAGCUGGUCUGAGAGGAUGACCAGCCACACUGGAACUGAGACACGGUCCAGACUCCUACGGGAGGCAGCAGUGGGGAAUAUUGCACAAUGGGCGCAAGCCUGAUGCAGCCAUGCCGCGUGUAUGAAGAAGGCCUUCGGGUUGUAAAGUACUUUCAGCGAGGAGGAAGGCAUUAAGGUUAAUAACCUUAGUGAUUGACGUUACUCGCAGAAGAAGCACCGGCUAACUCCGUGCCAGCAGCCGCGGUAAUACGGAGGGUGCAAGCGUUAAUCGGAAUUACUGGGCGUAAAGCGCACGCAGGCGGUCCGUUAAGUCAGAUGUGAAAUCCCCGGGCUCAACCUGGGAACUGCAUUUGAAACUGGCAGCUUGAGUCUCGUAGAGGGGGGUAGAAUUUCCAGGUGUAGCGGUGAAAUGCGUAGAGAUCUGGAG